GCGUCCAUAGCUCAACUGGAUAGAGUAUCUGGCUUCGAACCAGGAGGUUGCGAGUUCAAGUCUUGCUGGGCGCACCA
Molecule: transfer RNA, 77 nt
Filed under: Tenericutes bacterium ADurb.BinA124
Lineage: Bacteria; Bacillati; Mycoplasmatota
Also listed under: 1 other name
Description: tRNA-Arg
Rfam family: tRNA
About the family: Transfer RNA (tRNA) molecules are approximately 80 nucleotides in length. Their secondary structure includes four short double-helical elements and three loops (D, anti-codon, and T loops). Further hydrogen bonds mediate the characteristic L-shaped molecular structure. tRNAs have two regions of fundamental functional importance: the anti-codon, which is responsible for specific mRNA codon recognition, and the 3' end, to which the tRNAs corresponding amino acid is attached (by aminoacyl-tRNA synthetases). tRNAs cope with the degeneracy of the genetic code in two manners: having more than one tRNA (with a specific anti-codon) for a particular amino acid; and 'wobble' base-pairing, i.e. permitting non-standard base-pairing at the 3rd anti-codon position.
Source: RNAcentral